CCCUUAGAUGUCCGGGGCUGCACGCGCGCUACACUGAAGGAAUCAGCGUGCUAAAACCAUUGUCGAAAGGCAUUGGUAAACCCAUUAAAAUCCUACGUGAUUGGGAUCGGGAAUUGCAAUUAUUUCCCUUGAACGAGGAAUUCCCAGUAAGUGUGGGUCAUAGGCUCGCGUUGAUUACGUCCCUGCCCUUUGUACACACCGCCCGUCGCUGCCCGGGACUGAGCCGUUUCGAGAAAAGCGGGGACUGCUGCUGUCGGGGCUUUCGGGCCUUGGCUUCGGUGGAAACCGCUUUAAUCGCAGUGGCUUGAACCGGGCAAAANUCGUAACA
RNAcentral lists this ribosomal RNA (328 nucleotides) under uncultured eukaryote. Its description in RNAcentral is "partial 18S ribosomal RNA". It matches the Rfam family "Eukaryotic small subunit ribosomal RNA", at positions 1470 to 1796 of the family's 1831-position model. The record is from RNAcentral.